AUGCGCCGCGCCGUCUCCCUUGGCGCGGGAACGCCACCGUCCACGCCGGUCUUCUUCAUGCUGUCAGGGUUCUUCGCCUACGUCGAGCACCGCCGCCGCACUCCUAACCUAGCCGCCGCCGCCGCCUUCAGGCCGCCGCUGCCGCUCUUCUUUGGCCGCCGCCGCCGCUACCUUUGUAGCCGCCGCCGCCGCCCGUCCACCCCCUUCGUCUUCGUCCAGCACCAGUUCGUCGCCAGCGUCGCCGUCAUCUACCCCGACCGCUUCAUCUACUCCGACAACCGCGGGCGACAUUGGCCCUGCGCCGAUUGGCACCGCAACCGUCGUCGAGUCCUUCUCUGCUGGCCUCUCCGCCUUCUCCGACAUGGUGUACAGCUCGUGCAGGUCCCUCGUCUACGCAUGCCCGGUGCUGGCAACACCGCCGCGUGCCUUCGUCCACGACGUGUCCCCGGGCCUGGCAAGCCUGGCGCGGCGCUUCGUCAACUUCGUAUUCGUCUAUCUACGCAUGCCCGGUGCUGGCAACACCGGUGCGUGCCUUCAUCCACGAUGUGUCCCCGGGCUUGGCACACCCGCCGCGACGCGUCGUCAACACCAUCUACUUCCUGGCGCAUCACUACUUCGACACCACUGCGCCCAUGCUAA
Molecule: ribosomal RNA, 639 nt
Filed under: Triticum aestivum (bread wheat)
Lineage: Eukaryota; Viridiplantae; Streptophyta; Magnoliopsida; Poales; Poaceae
Description: partial small subunit ribosomal RNA
Source: RNAcentral